RNAcentral lists this ribosomal RNA (158 nucleotides) under uncultured Pseudomonas sp. RNAcentral's name for it is "partial 16S ribosomal RNA". It matches the Rfam family "Bacterial small subunit ribosomal RNA", at positions 380 to 530 of the family's 1533-position model. Lineage: Bacteria; Pseudomonadati; Pseudomonadota; Gammaproteobacteria; Pseudomonadales; Pseudomonadaceae. The record is from RNAcentral.
UGCCUGAUCCAGCCAUGCGGCGUGUGUGAAGAAGGUCUUCGGAUUGUAAAGCACUUUAAGUUGGGAGGAAGGGCAGUAAGUUAAUACCUUGCUGUUAUGACGUUACCGACAGAAUAAGCACCGGCUAACUCUGUGCCAGCAGCCGCGGUAAUAAAGCG